AUUGAACGCUGGCGGCAGGCCUAACACAUGCAAGUCGAGCGGAUGAAGGGAGCUUGCUCCUGGAUUCAGCGGCGGACGGGUGAGUAAUGCCUAGGAAUCUGCCUGGUAGUGGGGGAUAACGUCCGGAAACGGGCGCUAAUACCGCAUACGUCCUGAGGGAGAAAGUGGGGGAUCUUCGGACCUCACGCUAUCAGAUGAGCCUAGGUCGGAUUAGCUAGUUGGUGGGGUAAAGGCCUACCAAGGCGACGAUCCGUAACUGGUCUGAGAGGAUGAUCAGUCACACUGGAACUGAGACACGGUCCAGACCUCUACGGGAGGCAGCAGUGGGGAAUAUUGGACUAUGGGCGAAAGCCUGAUCCAGCCAUGCCGCGUGUGUGAAGAAGGUCUUCGGAUUGUAAAGCACUUUAAGUUGGGAGGAAGGGCAGUAAGUUAAUACCUUGCUGUUUUGACGUUACCAACAGAAUAAGCACCGGCUAACUUCGUG
This 484-nucleotide ribosomal RNA is filed under the name uncultured bacterium. RNAcentral's name for it is "partial 16S ribosomal RNA". It matches the Rfam family "Bacterial small subunit ribosomal RNA", at positions 30 to 507 of the family's 1533-position model. The record is from RNAcentral.